This 753-nucleotide non-coding RNA is filed under the name Plasmodium ovale curtisi. RNAcentral's name for it is "Eukaryotic small subunit ribosomal RNA". It matches the Rfam family "Eukaryotic small subunit ribosomal RNA", at positions 1 to 761 of the family's 1831-position model. Lineage: Eukaryota; Apicomplexa; Aconoidasida; Haemosporida; Plasmodiidae. The record is from Rfam by way of RNAcentral.
AACCUGGUUGAUCUUGCCAGUAGUCAUAUGCUUGUCUCAAAGAUUAAGCCAUGCAAGUGAAAGUAUAUGCAUAUUUUAUAUGUAGAAACUGCGAACGGCUCAUUAAAACAGUUAUAAUCUACUUGAAAUUUGUACCUUACAAGGAUAACUACGGAAAAGCUGUAGCUAAUACUUGCUUUAAUGCGUUUGAAUCCUUUUGGAUUCCCGCGUAUGUACUUGUUAAGCCUUUAAGAAAGAAGUUUAUAACUUAAGGAAUUAUAACAAAGAAGUAACACAUAAUAAGGUUGCCUUAUUUAGUGUGUAUCAAUCGAGUUUCUGACCUAUCAGCUUUUGAUGUUAGGGUAUUGGCCUAACAUGGCUAUGACGGGUAACGGGGAAUUAGAGUUCGAUUCCGGAGAGGGAGCCUGAGAAAUAGCUACCACAUCUAAGGAAGGCAGCAGGCGCGUAAAUUACCCAAUUCUAAAGAAGAGAGGUAGUGACAAGAAAUAACAAUACAAGGCCAUUUCAUGGUUUUGUAAUUGGAAUGAUGGGAAUUUAAAACCUUCCCAAAAUUCAAUUGGAGGGCAAGUCUGGUGCCAGCAGCCGCGGUAAUUCCAGCUCCAAUAGCGUAUAUUAAAAUUGUUGCAGUUAAAACGCUCGUAGUUGAAUUUCAAAGAAUCAAUAUUUUAAGUAAUACUUUUGCUAUAAGAUGCUUAGACAAUACAACGUAUCUGUUCUUUGUAUUCCUUAUGCAAAAUGUGUUCUUAUUAUAAA